Molecule: RNA transcript, 1609 nt
Organism: Rosa chinensis
Lineage: Eukaryota; Viridiplantae; Streptophyta; Magnoliopsida; Rosales; Rosaceae
Gene name: ATP-dependent DNA helicase Q-like 4A
Exons: 7
Source: RefSeq, a predicted model, not a curated record
AGAAGAGACAUUCUGCUUAUAAAAAUACUAUUGAAUGUGUUACUGGAAUUGUGUCAAGAACCAUAUCAACUAAGGGCAUGUUGGAAAUAUACAGCUCUUUGUCUGAAGCUGACAAGAAGGAGUUUGAGACUGCAUAUAGUGCCUCCUAUUAUCCUUGCAUGGACAUCCUCUAUGAAUGCUAUGAGGAUGUAGCAAGCGGCAGUGAGAUCCGUAGCAUUGUUUUGGCUGGGCGGCGAUUUUAUGUAUGUUCUCCUAUCUGUUCCCAGUAUUUAAUAGUUUUUAGAAUGUGAUUCACAAUGUCUUGAGCUAUUAAGGUAUCCAUAUGAUUUAGUUUCUGUUUUGCGCCUCCAUCUAAUUCUGUACUCAACUUGAUAAGCACACAAUCCUUGAAUCUAAUGCAGAUAGGACUUUGCCCAGAAGCUGCAAAUCACUUGCAAGAAAUGAAGGACAUGCUAAUUGCCAUAUCAAAUGAACUGCUUGAUGAUGUCAAUGAACUUUGCCUUCUUUCCUUUGCAGCUGCAUUCAGGAAUGACCCCGUGAGAUUUGAUUCAGAGGUUCAUCUACAUAAUGAGGCAGGAGGAUAUGCAGAGUGGAAUUCAUCAUCAGUUUCAUCCUCUUCUACGGAUAAGUUUGGUUUCUCUUCUUUUCCUGUUGAGAGAGAACCUUACAUCCCAAAGUUUGUUGAAGUUAACUAUACUGAAGGUUCAAAUGACAAGAAGUGGAGGGAUGGUCCUUUCCCGUGGACUAAAGAACUGGAGGCUAAUAAUAAGAGAGUGUUUGGUAACCACUCUUUCCGCCUCAACCAAAGAGAGGUCAUUAAUGCUACAAUGAGUGGCCAUGAUGUUUUCGUUUUAAUGCCAAUUGGAGGGGGUAAGAGCCUGACAUAUCAGGUACUUGAAUCUUUUUCUCACGACUCUUUUGACUUGUUUCAGGCAAAUAUUCCUGCUGCUUACCUAAGUGCCAAUAUGGAGUGGAGUGAACAACAGGAGAUUCUUAGAGCAUCGAGUUCUGAAUAUUAUAAAUACAAGCUGUUAUAUGUCACCCCUGAAAAAGUUGCCAAAGUGAGCCUGAGUUAAAUGUUGACCAGUUGGAUAGUGCACUGAAAGACAAUGUGGCAGUUGAAACUGAUGCUCCUGCUGAAUAUAGUGAAAAGGAGGCAUUUGAUGAUCAUCAGUGCAAUGGUAAAGAACCAAUCAUCUGUCAGAGCUCUUUGAAAGAUGACUGUACAGAUAAAAGCAUAGAAAGCCUUGAUGAGGGAAAGACAGUAUUAAUGAAGGAAGCAAUUGGAGAAGAAGCAAAGGAUGCAUUGGUUUCAAUUUCGAAGACAUGCAAGCUUUUGAAGUCAAUCUCAAGGUUGAAAGCUUUUGAAAUAUUGUUAUUUGUUUUCGUCUGAGAGGGAAUUUGUUUUUUAUUCAUAUUGACUGAUUGAAUGUGAUGUGAAAUCAGAACCAGAAACCGGGGUUGUUGUUGUGGAUGAGGAUGGAAAACUAGAAGACAGAGUUGGAGUGGCCUUGAAAUGUCUUCCAAACUAUGAUCCUGCUACCUGUUUGUUCGAAACAGUUUAAAGCUGCAACGGAAUCACCCCCCUAUACAGAAAGUGUGUGCGUAG